AAGACUUUAGUUAAAUUAUAAUAAGAGCUUGUCGAGCCCUAGUUACCUAAAAGUAAGUCUUA
This 62-nucleotide transfer RNA is filed under the name Barbronia weberi. RNAcentral describes it as "tRNA-Asp". Lineage: Eukaryota; Metazoa; Annelida; Clitellata; Hirudinida; Salifidae. RNAcentral also lists the same sequence under 1 other name. The record is from RNAcentral.